UACAGAGGGUGCAAGCGUUAAUCGGAAUUACUGGGCGUAAAGCGUGCGUAGCCGGUUAUGUAAGUCGGGUGUGAAAGCCCCGGGCUCAACCUGGGAAUGCCAUUCGAGACUGCAUAGCUAGGGUGCGGAAGAGGGAAGCGGAAUUUCCGGUGUAGCGGUGGAAUGCGCAGAUAUCAGGAGGAACACCGGUGGCGAAGGCGGGAUCCUGGGCCAGUACUGACGCUGAGGAGCGAAAGCGUGGGGAGCAAACAGG
RNAcentral lists this ribosomal RNA (253 nucleotides) under uncultured bacterium. RNAcentral describes it as "partial 16S ribosomal RNA". It matches the Rfam family "Bacterial small subunit ribosomal RNA", at positions 524 to 776 of the family's 1533-position model. The record is from RNAcentral.